UGCAGUCGAACGAACUCUGGUAUUGAUUGGUGCUUGCAUCAUGAUUUACAUUUGAGUGAGUGGCGAACUGGUGAGUAACACGUGGGAAACCUGCCCAGAAGCGGGGGAUAACACCUGGAAACAGAUGCUAAUACCGCAUAACAACUUGGACCGCAUGGUCCGAGUUUGAAAGAUGGCUUCGGCUAUCACUUUUGGAUGGUCCCGCGGCGUAUUAGCUAGAUGGUGGGGUAACGGCUCACCAUGGCAAUGAUACGUAGCCGACCUGAGAGGGUAAUCGGCCACAUUGGGACUGAGACACGGCCCAAACUCCUACGGGAGGCAGCAGUAGGGAAUCUUCCACAAUGGACGAAAGUCUGAUGGAGCAACGCCGCGUGAGUGAAGAAGGGUUUCGGCUCGUAAAACUCUGUUGUUAAAGAAGAACAUAUCUGAGAGUAACUGUUCAGGUAUUGACGGUAUUUAACCAGAAAGCCACGGCUAACUACGUGCCAGCAGCCGCGGUAAUACGUAGGUGGCAAGCGUUGUCCGGAUUUAUUGGGCGUAAAGCGAGCGCAGGCGGUUUUUUAAGUCUGAUGUGAAAGCCUUCGGCUCAACCGAAGAAGUGCAUCGGAAACUGGGAAACUUGAGUGCAGAAGAGGACAGUGGAACUCCAUGUGUAGCGGUGAAAUGCGUAGAUAUAUGGAAGAACACCAGUGGCGAAGGCGGCUGUCUGGUCUGUAACUGACGCUGAGGCUCGAAAGUAUGGGUAGCAAACAGGAUUAGAUACCCUGGUAGUCCAUACCGUAAACGAUGAAUGCUAAGUGUUGGAGGGUUUCCGCCCUUCAGUGCUGCAGCUAACGCAUUAAGCAUUCCGCCUGGGGAGUACGGCCGCAAGGCUGAAACUCAAAGGAAUUGACGGGGGCCCGCACAAGCGGUGGAGCAUGUGGUUUAAUUCGAAGCUACGCGAAGAACCUUACCAGGUCUUGACAUACUAUGC
Molecule: ribosomal RNA, 973 nt
Filed under: Lactiplantibacillus plantarum
Lineage: Bacteria; Bacillati; Bacillota; Bacilli; Lactobacillales; Lactobacillaceae
Description: bacterial SSU rRNA
Rfam family: Bacterial small subunit ribosomal RNA
Source: RNAcentral